GGCGAACGGGUGAGUAACACUUGGGUAAUGUACCUCUCUGAGGGGGGACAACUAGGGGAAACUUUAGCUAAUACCGCGUACGCCGAUGAGGACUACGGUCUUUAUCGGGAAAGCCGAAAGGCGCAGAGAGAGCAGCCCGAGUCCUAUUAGCUUGUUGGUAGGGUAAAAGCCUACCAAGGCUACGAUAGGUAGCUGGUCUGAGAGGAUGAUCAGCCACACUGGUACUGGAACACGGACCAG
This 240-nucleotide ribosomal RNA is filed under the name uncultured bacterium. RNAcentral describes it as "partial 16S ribosomal RNA". It matches the Rfam family "Bacterial small subunit ribosomal RNA", at positions 97 to 334 of the family's 1533-position model. The record is from RNAcentral.